RNAcentral lists this long non-coding RNA (616 nucleotides) under Equus caballus (horse). RNAcentral's name for it is "lncRNA (ENSECAG00000043869.1)". Lineage: Eukaryota; Metazoa; Chordata; Mammalia; Perissodactyla; Equidae. The record is from RNAcentral.
AUUCCUUACUGCUCUGGAGGGUUGAAUAAAGGAGUGAAACUAUAUGGGAAUGAUAGUAUGGCUAGGGCUGGGGUGGAGCUGAUUUUAAGUCAAAAUAACUUGAGCUGUUACGAAGUCUUGGUAGGAGUAAGCCACCUCUCACCAGAUUUGUUCAACCUGUCUGAGAUGCUGUCACAAGGUUCCUUUAUGGGAUUAGCCCUGAGCUAACAUCUGCUGCCAAUCCUCCUCUUUUUGCUGAGGUUUGCCAAGUGGUGCCAUGUCCACACCUGGGAUCCGAACUGGCAGCCCCUGGGCCGCCGAAGAGGAACGUGCGCACUUAACCACUGCGCCACCGGGCCAGCCCCCUAAGCGUUUACUUCUUACGCUAACUUUUAAUUAUUUUUCUUUUCCCUCAUUGCCAAGAAUCCACUAUCCUCCAUGGAGACAGACACCAUCAAGGACAAGCACCUGGACCAUCUCCUCCCCACAAAGGGAUAUGGGCUGGUGGGAAAGCUGCUGACCAGCAAGGUCACGGGCUCCCUCCUCUCUGCAAGUAGUCUCAAGGCCAAAGACAAGCUGGUGGGAAAGCUCUGACCAGAAAGGCCAUAUGCUCCCGCCUCCCCUACCUAAAACCCCA